This 266-nucleotide ribosomal RNA is filed under the name Alternaria photistica. RNAcentral describes it as "5.8S ribosomal RNA". The stretch from base 31 to 184 matches the Rfam family "5.8S ribosomal RNA". From Rfam's summary of the family: 5.8S ribosomal RNA (5.8S rRNA) is a component of the large subunit of the eukaryotic ribosome. It is transcribed by RNA polymerase I as part of the 45S precursor that also contains 18S and 28S rRNA. Functionally, it is thought that 5.8S rRNA may be involved in ribosome translocation. Lineage: Eukaryota; Fungi; Ascomycota; Dothideomycetes; Pleosporales; Pleosporaceae. RNAcentral also lists the same sequence under 19 other names. The record is from RNAcentral.
AUCAGCGUCAGUAACAACGUAAUUAAUUACAACUUUCAACAACGGAUCUCUUGGUUCUGGCAUCGAUGAAGAACGCAGCGAAAUGCGAUACGUAGUGUGAAUUGCAGAAUUCAGUGAAUCAUCGAAUCUUUGAACGCACAUUGCGCCCUUUGGUAUUCCAAAGGGCAUGCCUGUUCGAGCGUCAUUUGUACCCUCAAGCUUUGCUUGGUGUUGGGCGUCUUUUGUCUCCAGUUCGCUGGAGACUCGCCUUAAAGUCAUUGGCAGCC